This 410-nucleotide ribosomal RNA is filed under the name uncultured bacterium. RNAcentral describes it as "bacterial SSU rRNA". It matches the Rfam family "Bacterial small subunit ribosomal RNA", at positions 370 to 772 of the family's 1533-position model. The record is from RNAcentral.
AAUGGGGGCAACCCUGAUCCAGCCAUUCCGCGUGAGUGAAGAAGGCCUUCGGGUUGUAAAGCUCUUUCAGCUGGAACGAAACGGUACGGGCUAAUACCCUGUGCUAAUGACGGUACCAGCAGAAGAAGCACCGGCUAACUACGUGCCAGCAGCCGCGGUAAUACGUAGGGUGCGAGCGUUAAUCGGAAUUACUGGGCGUAAAGCGUGCGCAGGCGGAUUGUUAAGCAAGAUGUGAAAUCCCCGGGCUUAACCUGGGAAUGGCAUUUUGAACUGGCAGUCUAGAGUGCGUCAGAGGGGGGUGGAAUUCCACGUGUAGCAGUGAAAUGCGUAGAGAUGUGGAGGAACACCAAUGGCGAAGGCAGCCCCCUGGGAUGACACUGACGCUCAUGUACGAAAGCGUGGGUAGCAAA